RNAcentral lists this unclassified non-coding RNA (202 nucleotides) under Coprinopsis udicola. Its description in RNAcentral is "partial internal transcribed spacer 2". The record is from RNAcentral. Lineage: Eukaryota; Fungi; Basidiomycota; Agaricomycetes; Agaricales; Psathyrellaceae.
AAUUCUCAACCUUAUCAGUUUUGUUACAAACCUGUGUAAGGCUUGGAUAUGGAGGUUUGCAGGUCCACUACCAUGGUCUGCUCCUCUGAAAUGUAUUAGCGGGUUAAGCUCCCGUCUAUUAGUGUGAUAAUUAUCUACGCUAUAGAUGUGGUAAGCUAUAAUUGACCAGCUUCUAAUCGUCUUUCGAGACAACUUUUGACAU